Molecule: non-coding RNA, 1142 nt
Organism: Chiloscyllium plagiosum (whitespotted bambooshark)
Lineage: Eukaryota; Metazoa; Chordata; Chondrichthyes; Orectolobiformes; Hemiscylliidae
Source: the annotation of a RefSeq genome assembly
AUGCGGAAGCUGGAAGCCUGCCCCUUCCGAUGGCCAUAUAAAUCCUGGGCACUGGACAGUGUCCAGUCGGAGGUUGUUUUGACCCAGCCAGAGGCAGAGACUGGCCGUCCCGCAGGCAGCCUGAAACUGACCUGUAAAACCAGCGGGUUCAAUCUUGGCAGCUACUACAUGAGCUGGGUCCGACAGGUUCCCGGACAGGGUCUGGAGUGGCUGGUUAGCUACUAUACUUCAUCCAGCAGUUACUAUGCACCAGCGAUUACGGGUCGAUUUACUGCGUCCAAAGACACUUCAAACAACAUUUUCGCGUUGGACAUGGAGAACCUGAAGAUCGAAGACACCGCCAUCUAUUACUGUACAGGAGACCAAAGCGAGAGGAACCAGGGCUGGACCCAUUCAAGAACAGUUUCACUUGUUACAAAGCCAGUGCUCUUCAGGAAUAAUUACACAGUGUAUGUUAUAGUAGAACAAGUCUUACUGGAGGCGACGGUGACGUUAACCUGCAGUGUGUCCAAUCUUCCUUCUGGAGUCAAUGUCACCUGGAGACAAGAAAAGAAGCCUCUGAAAUCAGAGAUUGCUGAGCAGCCUGGACAGAAUCCCGACAGCGUGAUCAGCAAAUUAGACAUUUCAACUGAGGCCUGGCUGAGUGGCGUUACUUUUGAAUGUGUGGUGUACCAUCAGAAUCUACCGAGUCUGCUGAGAGACGCCAUCCACAAGGAGAAAGUGAUUAAUCCGCUGGAGCCAUCAGUGUCGGUCCUCCUGCCACCAACAGGAGAAAUCUCCGCUCAGAGGUUUCUCUCCCUCACCUGUUUAGUGAGAGGUUUCUCCCCCCGAGAGAUGUUCGUCAAGUGGACAAACAAUGACAAGCCGGUGAAUCCCAGUAACUACAAGAACACCGAGGUGAUGGCGGAGAGUGACAACACCUCCUUCUUUAUCUACAGCCUGUUAUCCAUUACAGCGGAGGAGUGGGCCAGCGGUGCUUCUUACUCCUGUGUGGUGGGACAUGAAGCGAUUCCAUUGAAGAUCAUCAACAGAACAGUCGAUAAAUCCAGCGGUAAACCUUGUUUUGUAAACAUUUCACUUGCACUGAUGGACACUGUUAAUUCAUGUCAAUAAAAAUCUCAAAGUUGCAUUUAAUAAUUCAA